RNAcentral lists this ribosomal RNA (474 nucleotides) under Triticum aestivum (bread wheat). Its description in RNAcentral is "partial small subunit ribosomal RNA". Lineage: Eukaryota; Viridiplantae; Streptophyta; Magnoliopsida; Poales; Poaceae. The record is from RNAcentral.
AUGUCCGAGCUCGGCUGUGUGCCUGAUGCCAUCUCAUACAACACAGUUCUUAAGAGAUUAUGUGAAGAUAGCAGAAGCCAGGGAGCACUCGACCUGCUCCGGACGGUGGCAAAAGAAGGAGGUGUUGGCUCUCUCGAUGUGGUAUCCCAUAGCACUGUCAUCCAUGGCUUCUUUAAGGAAGGCGAAACAGGCAAGGCAUGCAAUCUAUUCCAUGAAAUGACACAACAAGGGAUUGUGCCCAAUGUGGUGACAUAUAACUUGAUUAUUGAUGCGUUGUGCAAGGCCAGAGCAAUGGACAAGUCAGAGCUGAUCCUUCGGCAGAUGGUUGAUAACGGUGUUCGACCCGAUACAGUUACUUGCAGCUCGAUCAUGUCUUCCCUUUGCAAGCAUGGAAGAAGCAAAGAAGCUGCAGAAAUUUUUGACUCCAUGACUGCCAAAGGCCUCAAAGCUGAUGUUUUCUCAUAUUCUGUUUCA